Molecule: ribosomal RNA, 157 nt
Filed under: Waitea circinata
Lineage: Eukaryota; Fungi; Basidiomycota; Agaricomycetes; Corticiales; Corticiaceae
Description: 5.8S ribosomal RNA
Rfam family: 5.8S ribosomal RNA
About the family: 5.8S ribosomal RNA (5.8S rRNA) is a component of the large subunit of the eukaryotic ribosome. It is transcribed by RNA polymerase I as part of the 45S precursor that also contains 18S and 28S rRNA. Functionally, it is thought that 5.8S rRNA may be involved in ribosome translocation.
Source: RNAcentral
AAAAACAACUUUCAACAACGGAUCUCUUGGCUCUCGCAUCGAUGAAGAACGUAGCGAAUUACGAUAUGUAAUGUGAAUUGCAGAAUUCAGUGAAUCAUCGAAUCUUUGAACGCACCUUGCGCUCUUUGGUAUUCCGAAGAGCAUGCCUGUUUGAGUG